RNAcentral lists this long non-coding RNA (13799 nucleotides) under Marmota monax (woodchuck). The record is from RNAcentral. Lineage: Eukaryota; Metazoa; Chordata; Mammalia; Rodentia; Sciuridae.
CAGGCCCUUUUCCUUCCCAGGAGCAGGACCUACAGGUCCCAAGCCCGGAGUGACCGUACAGCUGGAGCGAGGGGACGAGCCCUGGGUGCACAUGCAGAAUGCCAAGGGGAGAGUGCACAUGAGAGCCAGCCACUCAGGUGUGUGAGGGAAGCUGUUCCCAGCUUGGCCACUGAACCAGCAUUUGUUGGGGUUCAGGGUGUCUGGUUAAUGGGGAGAUGGAUCAGGGCUAGUUCAGUAGCUUGCACGGCCUCUGCUGGGGCCCUGGUCACCUCUGUCAGCUUGGGUGCCUUGGUGGGAAAUUCAAGCAGAAUCUUCUAGGUGGUGACAGUGUUGUGGAGCAGAGUAGGGACGGGCUUCCAGAUAGAGACAGGGAAGGUGCAUGGGUGCAGGCCAGGUGUCAGCUCUGACAAAUAAACUCUCGUGUGUAUCUCUGCCUGGUCUCUGUCUUUCAGCUCGCUGGCCUGCUCCCAGUUCCCUGCUUUCCUUUCACCAGGUAGCCUCUGUACCCUCAGCUCACUUUCUGUCUCUGAAUUUGCCUCUUAGAACCUCAUGCAAGGGGAGUCCUGUGAGAUGUGUUCCUGGAGCACAGUGUGGUCCAGGCUCCCCACCUUCAGCCUGACACGGGUCCCUUCCUUUUGCAGAUGAGUAAGAUUCCACUGGGUGGCUCUGCCGUGUCUCCCCUGCACCUCUCCCUCGCCUGCAGCUGGAACCUGGGUGUGGACGCUGAUGUCGAUGUCGUUGUAUGAUGUGUGUUGAGCCCCUGCUUUCAGUGCCUCUAGGUCAGAAUCUGGGUGGCACAGGAGUUGCACAGGUUCUGCCUUUCUUCACAUUCCCACCAGCAUGGGUACUAUUUUCUGCUUUUUCAUAGGAGGCAUCCUAAUAGGAGUGAAGUGAUAUUGUGUUUUUUUUUUUUUUUUAUUGGUUGUUCAAAACAUUAGAUACUGUGGUUUUGAUUUGCAUUUCCUUAAUGGCCAGUCAUGUUCAGCAUAUCUCCAGGUGUUUACUGACCAUUUGUGUAUUUUCUUUGGAGAAAUGUCUACUCAAGUCUUUUGACCAUUGUUUUAAAGAUUUUCUUUUAAGUUGUAGAUGGACACAAUUCCUUUAUUUUAUUUAAUUAUUUAUUUUUGUUUGGUGCUGGGGAUCGAACCCAGUGCUUCACACAUGCUGUGUGAGCAUUCUACCACUGAGCUAUAACCCUAGCCUCCCUUUGCCCAUUUUUUUUAAUUGAGUCUUUUUUUGCUGUUGAGUUGUAGUAGUUCUUCAUAUAUUUUGGAUAUUAGCCCCUUAUCAGAUAUAUGAUUUGAAAAUAUUUUUCUAUUUUGUCGACUAAUCUUUUCAUUCUCAUGAUAGUGUCCUAUAAUGCAAAAAAUUUUUGAUUCUGAUGAAGUCCAGUUUAUCUAAUUUUUCUUUUAUUCCCUGUGCAUUUAGGUAUCACAUGUAAGGAAUCAUUGCUAAGCACGAGUCAUUAAGUCUGCCUACCGUGUUUUCUUCUAAGGAAUUUAUAGUUUUAGAUCUUACGUUUUGGGACUUUGAUCUAUUUUGAGCUAAUUUUUUUAUAUGGCACAAGGUGAGUCCAAUGCCAUGCUUCUGUGUGUGAAUACCCAGUUUUCCCAGCAAUACUGCUCAAUAGAUUUUCCUUUCCAUGCUGCAUAGUGUAUUAGUCAGCUCGGCUGCCACAACAGAGUACCACAGACUGGAUGGCUUGAACAACAGACGUUUAUUUCUCAUAGUCAUGGAGGCUGAAGUCCAGUUGAAGGUGCCAGUUAGUUCCUGGUGAGGGCUCUCUUCCUGACUUGCAGAUGGCUACUUUCUUGCUGUGUCCUCACAGGGCAGAGAAAAAGAGAUCUCUAGUGUCCCUUCCUCUCAUAAAAGCAUCAGCCCUAGCUGGGCAUGGUGGUACACACCUGUAAUCCCAGCCAUUCAGGAGGCUGGGGCAGGGAUUCCAAGGUUGAGGCCAUCCUGGGUCACUCAGUGGGGCCUAGAAUUUUAGGGGGGAGUGCAUGCUGGAAUGGGUGUAGCUUAGUGUAGAGCACCCUGGGUUCAAUCCCUGUACCUGAGGGGGGAAAAAAAAAAGCAACAGCCCUAUUGGAUCAGGUCCACCCCUAUAAGCUCAUCUAAUUAAUCGUUACCACCUUCUCAGGGGCCAUAUUUCCAAGUACAGUUCCAGUGUGGUUAGGAUUUCAGGAUGUGAAUUUUGGGGACCUAUUUAGUCAUUGCUUAAAACCAAUUGAUCGUAUCUGUGAAAAUUCAGUUCUGGCCUCUUUUCUUCCACUCUCCACGCCUGUCCUUAUGCCACUGUGCCAUGACUGAAUGUGGCUCAUCUGCCUGAGGUUCAUAUGUGGGAGGCCUGGUAUGUAGUGAUGUCAAGGGGCUGCAUCUCUCAGAGCAAGUGGAGCCUGGGGAAAGAUGAUUAGGUCAGGAGUGAGGAGCCAUCCUCAGGAGGAAUCAUUGCAUGUUUCAGAGCCUAGAGUUCUCUUGAGAAUGAAAGUUAUGGGUGAUCAGAAGGCAUUAUGGGGGGCUGAGUCUGUAGCUCAGUAUUGGAGUGCUUGACUAGCAUGUGUGAGGCACUGGGUUUGAUCCUCGGCACCACAUAAAAAUAAAUAAAAUAAAGAUACAUCAAAAACUAAAAAAAGAAUAAAAAAGAAAGGUAUGAAAAUACAAUAACAUUAUUUUAAAAAGGUGUUAUCGCAAUAGGAAGUGAAUUAAAAAAGGAGAUUGGUACUGAGAAUGGGGUAUUUCCUAUAAAGGCACCUGAAAAUAUGGAAGGGACUUUGGAACUGGGUAAUGGGCACAGGGUGGAAGAGUUUGGAGGAACAGCCUAGUAAAAGCCUAGAAUGCUAUAAAUGGAGAAUUAUGGGUGAUUUUGGUGAAGACUUAGUAGAUAGGAAGCUAGAAAUUCUUGGAGAUUGGUGAAGAGUUUAUGACCAGAAUGCAGAUAGAAAUAAGAACAUCCUGCUGGGAACCAGAGUAAAGGCCACCCUUGUCAGGCCACUGUGAAGAUCUCACUGCACUGUGUCCAUGCCUGAGGGCUUUGUGGUGGACCAAAUCUAAGGAUGGUGAAAACUGAAGACACUUCUAAACCAAAAAUUUAGGCUGCUGCCUGGUUACUUUCAACUGCUUAUGCUCAGAUUCAGGGGCAAAGGGGAGCAGCGUGGGAAGAUCUGGAAAAUUCACAGAGUCAAUAAAUACACAGAGUAAGUAAAUCUCUUUUCUUUAUAAACUAUCCAACUUCAUGUAUUUUAUUAUAGUAACAAACACAAAAUGAACUAAGAGUACACCCACACUGUUUUCAUUAUUAUAACUUUGUAGAAAGUUUUAAAAUUAGGACGUAUGAAUCCUCCAAUUUGUUCUUCUUUUUCAAGAUUGUUUUGGCUAUUUGGGGUCCCUUGAUGUUCCACAUGAAAUAUAGAAUGGGUUUUUUUGAAUCUGCAAAAAAUUUCAGGGUAGGUUUAUCACCUUAACAAUAUUAAGUCUUCCAAUCUAUGAGCACACGAUAUGUUUCCAUUUAUUUAUGUUUUUUUCAACUUACUGUGAUGUUUUGUAGCUUUCAAUGUAUGAAUCUUUUUAAAAAAUAUUUAUUUUUUAGUUUUUUAGGUGGACACAAUAUCUUUAUUUUAUAUUUAUGUGGUGCUGAGGAUCGAAUCCAGUGCCUUGUGCAUGCUAGGCAAGCGUCCUACCACUGCGCCACAACCCCAGCCUCUCAAUGUAUGAAUCUUUUGCCUCUUGAUUUAUUCCUUUCAAUGCUACUAUGAAUGAAAUUGUUUUUUUUCCUUUCCUUUUUAGUUGUUUAUCAAUACUAAAUGGAAACAAUUGUGUCUUGACUAAAAAAAUUUUUUUUGCAAUUGUAGAUGGACAGAAUGCCUUUAUUUUUAAAUUUUUAUGUGGUGCUGAGGAUCAAACCCAGUGCCUCAUGCAUGCUAGUCAAGCGCUCUGCCACUGAGCCCCAGCCCCAGCCCUGUGUUUUGACUUUGUGUCCCACAACUUGGCUGAAUUCAUUUGUUAGCUCUUAUGUACUAUUUUUGUGCAGUCCUCAGAGUUCUUGCCAGCUCUGGGCUGAGGUAUAAUUUUACUUCUAUUCCACUCCAGUUUGGAUGCCUAAUGCUUCCUUUUCUUGCCUGACUUCUCUAGUUAGAACUUCCAAUAUUAUGUUUAAUCGAAGUGGCCAAAGUGGGCAUCCUAACCUUGUUGCUGAUCUCAAGGCUGCUAGCUUUCCCUGUUAUGUAUAGUGUUAGGUUCUUCAUGUACACCCUUCCUCAACAUAGACAAAGUCACCUUCUAAUCCUAGAUUAUUGAGUGUUUUUAUCAUGAAACAGUGUUAAAUUCUGUGAAAUGCUUUUCUGUAUCAGUGAUAUUGUAAGUGGGUUUUCUUUAUUAAUACAGUGUGAUGAUCAUACAAAAUAAUCUUCAUAUGUUGUUGCCAUAUUUCAUUCCAGGAACAGAUCACACUUGGUCAUGGUUUAUAAUCCUUUAAAUAUACUUUUGAAUCUUACUAGGUGUUCCCUCUUUUUUAAAAAAUAUUUAAAAAAAAAUUUUUGAAGAAAUAAUAGUCCCAUACUUCUAAAAAUAUUUUUUAGUUGUAGAUAGACACAAUACCUUUAUUUACCUAUUUUUAUGUGGUACUAAGAAUCAAACCCAGUGCCUCUUAUAUGUGAGGCAAGCAAUCUGCCACUGAGCCACAAUCUCAGCCCACCCCAACCCUUUUUGUUUUGAGACAGGGUCUGGCUAAGUUUACCAGACUGGCCCUGAACUUGAACCCUCCUGCCUCAGCCUCCUGAAUUGAUGGAAUCAAAGCAGGUACCACCACACCAGGGUUGGGAGGUUUUUGAUUACUGUUACAAUCUUUUUACCAGUUAUGGCUUAUUUUGGGGGGUGGGGUGGGGGUACCAUGGAUUGAACUCAGGAGCACCUGACCACUGAACCACAUUCCCAGCCAUAUUUUGUAUUUUAUUUAGAGACAGGAUCUCACUGAGUGCCUAACACCUUGCUUUUGCUGAGGCUGGCUUUGAACUCAUGAUUCUCUUGUCUCAUCCUCCUAAGCCACUCAGAUUACAGGCAUGCACUACCACACCUGGUUCAGUUAUGUCUGUUCACAUUUUUCUAUUUUUUUCUUAGUGGUUACUUUGGGGUUUAUAACCAACUUCUUAAGCUUAGAAUAACCUAGUUUUGUUGACAUCAGCUUAAUUUUAAAAGUAUGAAUUUAAAAGUGUUCAUACUUUUAUAAACACCCAUCCUUACCUCUUUGUAUUGUCAAAGUUCACAUCUUUAUAUGUCAGAUGCUCAUUAACACAGAUUUAUAGAUUUUUCUAAAUGUCUUUGUUUAGUGAAUCAGAUUAAAAAAAGGAAGUACAAACCAUACCAAAAGUGCAGGGAUGUUGGCUUUUACAUUUACCUAUGUAGUUACCUUUACCAUUUUUUUUUUUAAUUUCUCACAGCUUUGGGUUGUCUGUAAUGUCCUUUCAUGCUGUGGUUCUGAUCAACUAGUUGCCGGCUACCUUGUCGCAGGGGGUGGGGGGUGGGGGGUUGCUGGUGAGAGAACUGGCUGGAGACCCACCUCAGGUCGUUGUCCAGUAGCUCAGUUUAUUUUUGGAAUGCAUAUAAUUGUUAUAGGGUCCCAGUGGGGCGUGCCCAUCAAUCAUUCACAAGCAAGAUAGUAUCCAUAAGCCAAUCAUCCUAUGCCUAAUGUAACCACAUUAUGAGGAUGUUCUAAAUAUUGCUAUCAUCAGGAAGGGUCUUUGUCCCUAGGGGAGGGGGUUUCUAAGUUAGAAGUUCCAUUCCUGAAGCUCCUGGCUGUCAGUUUCCUGGCCUGGCAGCUUGGCAACGCUAACCACAAGUGCUAAGGAUGUGGUUUCACUGGCGGCUCGCUAGAGCAGAGCAUCCCAUCCUGCUCCUGUCAGGCCUGAACAAGUGCAGGUUCUUCAAGCACUCAGAGCUGCUCAGAGCUGCUGGCUGCUAGCUGUAAACGGAAAGUCUCCCUUCAGAUUUCAUGUGAAGCAGAGCUACUGGUAAUGGGUUCCCUCAAAUGUUCUUUAUCUAGACAUGUCUUGAUUUCCCCUUCAUUCCUGAAGGGUAGUUUUUGCUGGAUAUAAAAUUCUUGGUUUACUUUUUUUUUUUUUUUUUCAUUUCAGGCCUGCAAAUAUGUCAUCCACUGCCUCUGGUCUCCAUAGUUUCCCAGAAAUCUGCUGAGCCUCAUGUGUUCGGUUCCUUACUGGUAUCUUCAGAAUUUGAGUUUCAACAAUUUGACUAUAAUAUGUCUCUGUGGAUUUGAAUUUUUUCCAUUUGGAAUUUCUUGAGUUUUUUGGAUUUGUAUAUUCAAAUCUAUCUUCCCACAGAUUUUAGAAGUUUGAGACUAUUAUUUCUUCAAAUAUCUUUUUCUCCUCCUUCUCUCUUUUCCUUUUGAGAAUAUUAUAACGUGUAUGUUGGCACAUAUGACGCUAUCCCACAGGUCUCUUGGGGUCUGUUUUUAUUUUUUUCCCAGACUGAUGUCAAUGGUCCGAUCUUCUAGUUUGCUGAUCUUUCUUCUGCCUCCUUGUAUCUGCUGUUGAACCCCUCAUGUGAGUUUUUCACUUCAGUUAUUGACUUUCCAGUUCCAGAAUUUUUUUUUAAUAAUUUUCUUUUUUAAAAUUUUUAAAAAAAUCUUUAUUGGUAUUUUCAUUUUGUUCAUACAUAAUUUUCUUGAUUUCCUUUAGUUCUUUGUCCAUGAUUUCCUUUAAUUCACCAAACAUACAUAAGACAGUUGUUUUAACUUUUUUGAGGUGGGUACAGAGGAUCAAACCCAGAGUCUUGCAUAUGGUAGGCACAAGCUCUACCACUGAACUAUGUCUCCAUCAUUUAUUUAACAUAUUUGACUAAUAAUUCCAGUGUCUGGGCUUCCUCUUUCUGUCAAAUUUUAUUUUUUCCUGUGAAUGGAUCAUACUUUCCUGUUUCUUUGUAUGUUCUGUCAUUUUUUGUUGAGCAGUGGCUAUUUUGAGUUGAGCAGCAGGUAUUGUUGUGGUUACUCUGGAAUUCUAAGACUCUCCUCAGUGAUUGCCAAAUCUUGCUUGUUGAGGGCUUGAGCCAUCUAUUUGUGACUUUCCCAAACUAUUCUUGCAUUGUGUACUUUUUUGAUGUGUGUGGGCACCGAUGUUUCAGUUCCAUUAUUUGUGUGGUCAGUCAGUAACAUGAAAAAUCUUUCCUUAUAUGUCUAAAUCCCCCAAAGGGAAACAACACAAGUAUUGUCUCUUUUUUAAAAAAAAAAAUUUAGUUGCAGUUUAUUUAGUUAUUGUUUUUAGGGGGUGUUGGGGGACUGAACCCAGGGCCUCACAUGUGCUAGGCAAGUGCUUUACCAUGAAGCCAUAACCCCAGACCCAAGUAUUGUCUCUUUAAUUCCUCUGGAAACUGCUUUGCUGACCCAUGAUGAUCAAAAUUAUAGUAGCUAGCCUCUGUGCCAGUUCUUUAGUAAUCAAGAGCAGCAAUCAACCAUCAAAACACACAGCCCCGGUAUUUGGAACAUCCUUAGUGCACACCAUUCACAGUUCAUGCCAUGGGGCUAGGGAAUGGUGCCCUGGCAAGGACUACAGGAAUGUUGAAAUCUGUUGAAACUUACCACCUGCCUCUUCAAGCUCUUCCUGGAUGCUACCAGCAUCUAACCAGACCGACUAGCUUGACUGACUAGCUUUCAGGUUACUUCUAACAGUCCCUGUCAGCUUGGUAGUUGUAGAGGUGGAAGGAUAGAUUCCCGAGUUUCCUACUUAGCUGUCUUCCAUGACAUCACUCUGAUAGUUUACUUUAUGAUAGCAACAAUCUUUCUAUCCAGACAGGGACAUGUUUUAAUUUAUAAAAUGUUAUCACUUGGCCACACCAUGAAGCUCUUUAUGAUGAGGUCUUCAUAACCCUCUUGUGAGCUGAACAUAUCAUAAGCUGAAAAUGUGUCUGAUACCCAACGUAACAUUGUAGCUCUAUACCUCUGUACACUGGGAUAGCAUGGCUGCAAGGAAGCCACUGCUUGCUGUAGCCCGGCACCACCGUAGAGGCUCACAGAAUGUACCACAGGCCUGGGAAACUCAACAUAGAAUCUCUGCUGAAUGCAUGUCACUUCCAUGCCAUUAUAAAGUUGAAAAGUCCUAAAUAAAAAAAAAAAUUUAUUGGGGAUUGAACCCAGGGGCACUCAACCGCUAAGCCACAUCCCCAGCCCUUUUUAUUUUUUGAGACAGGGUUUCACUAAGUUGCUGAGGCUGGCCUUGAACUUGUGAUCCUUCAGCUACAGCACCGCCGCCACCCCCCCACCCCAUCCACCCUGUGUUGAAUAUUAAGUUGGGGACUAUCUGUAUACUAUUUCACAGUGAGUAAUUCUAGGGUUUUAAUUAUUUUUUUAAGUUAUGUCCUUAGGAUAUAUUCCUAAGGAUGGGAUAAACUUCUUAAAGGACACUGAUGUUCAUCCUAUGCUUUCCAGAGCAGUUGCACCAACACAUCACGUCACCAGCACAAACUUAUUAAGUUCUUUACCUGCCUACCAGGACACAAAGGCAGAAGAGUGUGCACAGUCCAGCUGCCACACAGCCCCCUGCACUGGACAUUGUCACCUCUGAUGAGGGUGCAGGCAUGCUUCUGUGACGGGCACUGCAUUUCACUUCUGCUGCCACUACCAAAACUCAAAACCAGGAGAAUAUCAGCUUUCAAGGUGAGUUCUGAGUCUUCAUUGCAAAUUUAUUGAACCUGAGGGUGAUUUGGGGGAUAAUCAAACCUGCAACUACUCCUCUCAGGGAGGGCAGCCUUGAGACCCAUGAACUUCACAUCACCUCACCUGAGUUUCCCAGCUUGGGAACUUGUAAGCCUGAAAUCUAAAAUGCCCCCCACAUUUGCCCAGGUAGGAAGGAGCCCUCCUAUGUGUGUGCUGCUCUCACUUCUGCCCCAGGCAAGACCCUCCUGGCUUCCACCAUUGGUCCUUCUGUGCAGCCUUUCUACCGAGUGCCCCUCUUCCUUAGGGUUGACCAGCACCUGCCAAGCCGAGUCCUGGUGUGUUGUCAUCGUUCUUCAAAGAAAGGAUGAGUUACACCAUUGUUUCCUCACAACUGACAGAAGCUGGGUAUGGCUGUGGCCCAGAGAUACUCCAGAAAAAAACAGUAUGUGUAACUGCCAGACUUCUGUUAAAAAAAAGAAAAAAAUGUGGUCGUAUAUGGACAGCAUGCCUUUAUUUUUAUGUGGUGCUAAGGAUCCAACCCAGUGCCUCCCACAUGCUAGGUAAGCACUCUGCCACUGAGCUGCAGCCCCAGCCCAAGACUUAUUUAAUGAAGUCUGCAUGUUUCUUGGGAGGUGUUUCAUUUUUUCAAAUUUUUUUUAGUUGUAGAUGGACUCACAAUAUCUUUAUUAAUUUAUUUGUUAUGUGGUUCUGAGGAUCGAACCAGUGCCUCACACAUGCUAGGCAAGUGCUAUGCCACAGAACUAUAGCUCCAGUCCUAGAGUUUCAUUUUAAUGGUAAUGUCAUCAGCAAAAGCAUGGAGGCACCUUUUCCACCUCUGCAUCUCGGGGGACUGGAUGAGCCUCCCUGAGUGGGAGGCCACGACAUGUUCCACUUCCUUGGCAUAGUGGACCUCUUCCAGACUUCCCAGUUUUUCCUGGUUUGGAGCUGCCUGCUUGUGUCCUGUGGUCACUGAAGCGCCGAUCUUUGUGUCAACAUUAUUGAGCUUUCUUCACCCAAAUACUUGUUAUAAUCAUUGUUUUUUUUUUAAACUGGAAUAUGUCAGAUUGUAUACAGUACACAGAAUUAAAUUUCAGGAGGACCGUGAUUUUUUUUAAUAACUUUUAUUUAUUUAUGUUUAUGUGGUGCUGAGGAUCAAACCCAGGGCCUUGCACAUGCAAGGUGAGCGCUCUACCGCCAAGCCAUAACCCCAGCCCCCAUGAUAUUUUUUAAUGAUAGAAAAUUUGAAAAGUAUUAAAUAGCAAAUUCUUGGUAGCCAAUAAGGAGAAUUAAUAAAGAUUUAAAUGCAUUAAUAUAAAGAUUUAAAUGCAUAAACUGUAAAGAUUUCUGAGCAUACACACAUACAAAUUCAAAAUAAAAGUGGAAUGGUACUGAAAAAUGACAAGUAGUUGGGCAGGUAAAGCCCAAGAGGUAGGUCACCACUACUUGAAGGGAGCCCAAGCUCAUUGUGGCCUCUGACCUCAUGUUCCCCAAAGGCAGCUGCCCAUGUGUUCCAGGUGGCCAUGAGGUGAAUGGCAAGAACACAGAGCUGGAAUCCCCUCCACGAGGGGCACUGAUGUCCACUUCCCAGCUCCACGGACACCUGAACCUGCACCUGGGUGCAUCAAAGGUGGCCUGCCAACAAGAAUAGGAGAUGGAUGCUGAGCAUGCUUCAUCUGAGAAUGCAGGAAAGCAAACUAGGUUUUAGAAAGGUCUCCCUGGAAACCUAGGCUACUGGAGAACUGAGCUAUCCAGCACUCUGUACCCUGUGACUUCAGUUGUCCUGGGAUACAGCCUUUGUUUCUCUUUCUUUUCUUCUUUUUUUCAUAUAGUCUUUCUACACAAAUCUUUGUACUGAAUUCAAUCGAGCUCCUAUUCUCAUCCUGAUUGGCACAUGACUGUGCUCUGCUUUUCUGCAUGAUCAGCAAUUGUGGCUUGAGUAGUGGUGGGCUCCAACCUGCAGCCACAGAGACCCCAGCUGCAGAGUCCCCUUGUGAGGGCUGGCAGCCUCCCUCCUCCCUCCACUAAGGUCUUACACCCUUAGUAGCCUCAGCUCCUUUUCAGAGGAGACUCUGAAGUGUCCCUUUGUGAGGGCAGCUUUGUGAAGUUUGACCGCGUUCACCUCAGCCUCUGAAGACUUCAUCUUGGCCCCAGGUCACACUUCAGUGAGUUCAGUUCUUCUCUGAAGUAACAACUCAUCGAUUCCAGCUUCUCUGUCAUCUCUUCCGAAAAACAUCAGUGAUCUCACCUCCUCUAGGAAGCAGUGCCCAGUGGCCUCCACUCUGUUGGCUCCCUUCAGUGACCUGAGCCCUCUGGAGAAUUCAUCUCAGUGCUCCCAACUCUGGAUUUUCAGCCUCACUGAAGUGACACCACAGUGGCCUCCUUUCCUUUCUGCAGUAAGGCGCAGACCUUGGCUCUCCUCACUGAGACACUUAGUGUUGCUCUUCUCUGCCACCCUUCUGUGAUCAGCUCCUCCUCAAGCAGCGGCUCAGCUGUACCGCAGCUCCCUGCUCAAGCCAAGGCCUCAGGGACGGGCCAUUCUUACCGAGCUCUUGUCACGUGUAACGCUGAGGACCAGCACCCCAGUGCUUCUCUCUUCUCCCCAGAGGAAGAAGGAAACACCUCCACCAGGCACUGACACAUUUACGUUUGACCUUUGUUUUAUUUGCAGGUAGAUACUACUAGAAAUGGCUCUGAUAUAAACUCAGAUGUAAGAACCAUACCCUUAAAAACUGAGCAAAUAAUUCUGAACAAAUUCAAAUUUUUAAUUAUGAAUAAACCAAAUUUAUCACAGGCAAUGAAUAGUAGACUGUCUUAAGCCAGGAGUUAAACAACAACAACAACAAACCCCAAACAACUGGAGUACAAGAAUGGACUAUUAGAGCUAGUAAAAAAGAGUGAGAAUUAAAAAAAAAAAAAAUGCACUGCUGGGUGUGGUGGUGUACCACAGGAGGCUGAGGCCCCAAGCAGCUCAGCAAGACUAUCUCACAAUAAAAAAUAAAAUGGGAUGGGGAUGCAGCUCAGGGGUCCAGUGCCCCUGGGUUCAAUCCUGGUACCAACAAAACAAAACAACGCGCAACAAGGAAUCAUCUUUUUAGCAAUAUUUUCUUGCUUGGGACCUAACUGGCCCCAGAGAUCCAGAAUCUCUGGCAUGCAGAGUCUAUAGGUCUUAAGGAAAACAACCAUGUUUUAGUUGCAUUUUUACUCAAGUGGCAGGACAUUCCUUCUGGUCUUGGAUAAGUUAAAGCACCAGAUAAAAGAGUUUUUUUUUUUUUUAAUUUACAUAAUUUCUAAUGAACACAUCUUUAGACUUCUUUUUCUUUUCAUACAAACAGGUAUUUGCACAGUUACAAUUUUCAGCGAUGUCAUGUGAUCCUUGAUGUCGUAUAUCAAUUUAUCCACACAGCACUUCUGUGUUUCAAGAGAAUACGAAAACAGUCCAGUGUUCUAAGUUUCACAGCUAACUGGCUAACUGUUUAGGAAAGGCAUGCAUUCUCAGAAGAGAAAGAACCUCACUGGGAACAUAAGGGAGUAUUUUGGGACAAGUCCUUUUACUUUAACUUCCUUUAGUUACUCCUGUCAAAUGAAUUAUCUAAUGUUGAAGAAACAAGGAAUUAUGGCUAUUGUUACCCAAACUUCAUUAUGAUGGCAGGUCACUCUUCAAUACAGCUUCAGGAUGUUGAGGAAAACAAAACAUAUGCUCUGCAGCUUUUCCACAGGAAGAACAUGCCCAGUGCUUCUCCCUGCAAUUAUUUUGUGGCACUGAAACCCGAGGGAGGGUAGUGAGGCUGCCUCCUGCAGCCACCAGGCCCCAGGCUCACAGCUUCCCGUGCACCUUCUGGUGCUGGAUCAGGUGGCCGUGUUGGUUGAAGGCACGUCCGCACUCCCCACACUCAUAGGGCUUCUCCCCUGUAUGGAUCCGCUGGUGCUGGAUGAGCACCGAGUACUGGCUGAAGGCCUUGCCGCAGCUGCUGCACUCAUAGGGCUUCUCGCCAGUGUGGGUCCGCAGGUGCACGAUCAGGGUGGCCUUAAGGCUGAAGGCCUUGCUGCACUCUGUGCACUGGAAGGGCUUCUCUCCCGUGUGGAUCCUCUCAUGCUGGAUCAGAGAGCGACGUGCGCUAAAGGCAUGCCCACACUCUCCACACACAUAGGGCUUCUCCCCGGUGUGGACCCUCUGGUGCUGGAUCAGGUGGGAGUGCUGCACGAAGGCCUUGCCACACUCGUAGCAAGCAUAGGGCUUUUCCUCUGAGUGGAUCCGCUCAUGGUUCAUGAGGGUGGAGCGGUGGCUGAAGGCCUUGCCACACUCGCCACACUCGUAGGGCUUCUCUCCUGUGUGCACAUUGUGGUGCUGGAUGAGGACUGAGCGGUCGCUGAAGGCCUUCCCACACUCACUGCACGUGUAGGGCUUCUCCCCUGUGUGCACCCGCUGGUGCUGCAGCAGCGUCCUCUUUACGCUAAAGGUCUUCCCGCACUCGCUGCACUGGUGAGGCUUCUCCCCAGUGUGUACCCUCUGGUGGCUCCGCAGCACAGUGCUGUGGUUGAAGGCCUUCCCACAUAGUGGGCACACAUAGGGCCUCUCCCCUGUGUGGAUCCGCUGGUGCUGGAUGAGGUGCGAGAGCUGGGUGAAGGCCUUCCGACACUCGGCACACUCGUGAGGUUUCUCUCCUGUGUGAAUCUUGUGGUGCUGAGCAAGGUCCGAGCUCACUCGGAAGGCUUUUCCACACUCGUUACACUCAUAGGGUUUUUCGCCAGUGUGGAUUCUCCUGUGUUUACUGAGGACUGAGCUUUGGCUGAAGGCCUUCCCGCACACACUGCACACAUAUGGCUUCUCACCCGUGUGGAUUCGCUGGUGUUGAAGAAGAUGGGAGCUCCGCCCAAAGCACUUCCCACACUCGAUGCACAUGUAGGGCCUCUCUCCACUGGGAGCUUCUGGGUGUGGAGUCAGUGGCCUGCUCCUAUUCGAGACCCGAGCCUCGCCAGGGACGACAGGGCUUGCAUGCAGGCAGAAGCUCUGCUCUGGGUUAUAAUGUUCUUGAACGAUGCUCCCUGAAGAUGCUUUCCCCAGAUGCACUGUUACCUCAUCUGAAAUUAUCGGCUUUAAGGGCCAAUCUGUAUUUUGGUUCUCUUCCUUGGUUUUGCAUUCUGA